CAAAAUUCUCCUUUCCCUCUUGUAAGUUCCACUCUCGGCUCUCUCUCCCUCUCAGCUCUGAACCCUCACUAGACGUAACCCCUUCCUUUCACUCUUCAUCCUCUCUCCCUCUCCACCGUAAUCGCAGCCGCAGUCUAUGAUCUGUCACUCUCUCAACCCCCACUCUCCCAAACCCUCACUCAUCUGUGCCUCUCACUCUCUCAACCUCUCACUCUGUCAACCCCUCACUGUCGCAUCCCUCACCUCUAUUGCGUUCAGAUACCUACAAAAAAAGGAGCCCUCAAUGCUGAACCCAGUUACUCAUUCCAAAUUUCCGGUUUCCUUUAAAGAUUAUGGCUGCUGCUGUAACUGCGAGAACUGUUCGUGUUGUCAUUGUUGUUUUUGAUGGACCCAGUAGCUUUAUUGCUUAACUAGGAUAACAUUUUCAAGUGGCAUCCACGUCGCUUGUUCCCUCUUUACCCAUCAGGCCCCAGCUUUGGAUCUUUAUAUAGCUUUCCCCUAUCAUCCACAAUUCCUGAAGCUCAUACCCUCCCCUGUCGAGUUGCGCAGCUGCCUUCACGACCAGUCCCCUGGCACUGUUUAUUGAUGGUCCACGGAGGGCUCAAGUGCUCUUGGUGCUAUGGAGAAAAAGGGAGGACUUGUCAUUAAAGAAAAUUUUGAAAAAAGGAAAAUAGUUCUACACUUUGUAAUAAGGGUGGAGAUGAAUUUCAAGUGGAGAAUAGAAAGGUGAAGACCAAGUUGACAGCAAGCGUUAAAUUUUUAGCUGCACUGAUAAUGGAGCUUGAUGGUCAAAAUCCUCUCUUAAAAAGGAUAAGCAGAUCCGACAAAUGCAACAACAACAUACUGAAGUGGUUUCAACUAUGGAGAAAAAUCAAACUAACUUAACUUCCAAGUUGGAUGGUUUAACAAACUUGAUUAAAACGUUGUUGCAACAAGUCAAUCCUGGUAUGAGUGCAGAACAAGUGCAAGUAAUGAUAGAAGCCGCCCAACAAUCUCCACCUGAUGCGAGUAGUGCACCAAAUGAUGCGCGGCGAAGCAUUCCUCCUUCACUUGGAUCGAACCAUGUAUCAAAGGAUUUCGAAGUAAGUGCUGUUCAAAAUAAGUAGUUAAAUUAAUAGUAUGGUUUUGGUACUUACUGUGCUGAUUGGCUAAACCAUUAUAUUUUUGGUUCUAAACUUUAGUUGUUUUACUUUUUAUAUC
RNA transcript from Arachis stenosperma, 1200 nucleotides. RefSeq lists it as uncharacterized. The transcript is spliced from 6 exons. Lineage: Eukaryota; Viridiplantae; Streptophyta; Magnoliopsida; Fabales; Fabaceae. The record is from RefSeq and is a predicted model, not a curated record.